CCUACGGGUGGCAGCAGUGAGGAAUAUUGGUCAAUGGACGAGAGUCUGAACCAGCCAAGUAGCGUGAAGGAUGACUGCCCUAUGGGUUGUAAACUUCUUUUAUAUGGGAAUAAAAUGUUCCACGUGUGGGAUUUUGUAUGUACCAUAUGAAUAAGGAUCGGCUAACUCCGUGCCAGCAGCCGCGGUAAUACGGAGGAUCCGAGCGUUAUCCGGACUUAUUGGGUUUAAAGGGAGCGUAGGUGGAUUGUUAAGUCAGUUGUGAAAGUUUGCGGCUCAACCGUAAAAUUGCAGUUGAAACUGGCAGUCUUGAGUACAGUAGAGGUGGGCGGAAUUCGUGGUGUAGCGGUGAAAUGCUUAGAUAUCACGAAGAACCCCGAUUGCGAAGGCAGUUCACUGGACUGCAACUGACACUGAGGCUCGAAAGUGUGGGUAUCAAACAGGAUUAGAUACCCCUGUAGUC
RNAcentral lists this ribosomal RNA (460 nucleotides) under uncultured bacterium. Its description in RNAcentral is "partial 16S ribosomal RNA". It matches the Rfam family "Bacterial small subunit ribosomal RNA", at positions 338 to 795 of the family's 1533-position model. The record is from RNAcentral.